RNAcentral lists this ribosomal RNA (1281 nucleotides) under Triticum aestivum (bread wheat). RNAcentral describes it as "partial small subunit ribosomal RNA". Lineage: Eukaryota; Viridiplantae; Streptophyta; Magnoliopsida; Poales; Poaceae. The record is from RNAcentral.
AUGUUAGAGCUGAAGCUCUGCAGUUCAGAUGUAACAUACCUGAAUAUGAUUGCAGUGAUGGAAACCCAAGGUUUUAGUGAAUAUGAUCUGCUGUUUCACAUUGAGAAUCCAGAUUUAGGGGAGAAAGGAUUGGAGAUGGUAGAGAGUAAUGCUGAGUUGCAACUAGUAAAGAGGCAGGUUGAGGAGUGUAAGGUUUUAAAUUUGCUAGUGAGGGCAUGUCCACCUCCUUGCAGCAAGUUUCAGAGGCAAGAAUUAUCCACUGUUGUGUUAUAUGAUCUCAGUGAGCCACCCAUCUAUGCUGUUGAUGAAGAAGGAGUUGCCUUUGAAAGUCAGAGUAGCAGCUGCAGUUUAGUAGCUCAUGGUACUGGUGUUUGCACACAAGAGAGCAAGAAUGUAAAAGGAAAACUGAAAGCUAUUUUGGAAAUAGAAGAAGAAGAGGGAUAUGAUGGCAGUGGUGGUUCUGAUUGUGAAGGUGAAGAUGACAGUGAUGUAAACCCUUUUUAUAUGGGUGAUGCUGAUGACAUAGAGAUGGAUGAGGGAAAGAAACAGAGAGAGUAUGAUGAAGUAGAAGAGGAAGAAACAGAUGAUGAAGAAUCUGAGGAGGAAGAAAUGGUGCAUUACUCUGGUGACACCGAGGUUGAGGAACCUUUUGAAAUGGAUGAAGAUGACAAGGUUGUUUCACAGGAUGAAGAAACUGUAAUUGUACAUGAAGAGAAGAAGAAGAAGAAACAGAAGCUUCUAGUUAGGAAAGGGCCUACAACAAGGACACAUUCAAGUGUAGUUCAAGAGGAGGAACCUGAUUUCCAACCUUCAUCUGAUGAAGAACAGAAAGGAUUGUUGAAGGAGGCUGAUGAUGAUGGUUAUGAGCCAUUGGCAUUUGUGCUGCCAAAGAAAAGGAAGAGCAGGGCAAAGCAGAGGCCUCCUAGAAAAUGGUACAAUGAGAAAAUGGAGGCACCACAUGAGCAAUUAUGUCUACAGAUGUGUUUCAAGGAUCAACAUCAAUUCAGAGAGGCUUUGUUGAACUUACACAUCACUCAAGGCAGAAACUUCAAAUAUCAUAGGAACUCAGAUCAAAGAAUAAUUGUAGAAUGCAACCAAAAACAUUGCAACUUCUUUAUGGUGGCAGCAGUUAUAAAAGGUGAAACUACUUUUGUAAUUAAGAAGAUGAGAAUUAAGCACACUUGCCCUAUUAGUACAGAGACAACAAGGGUAAGUGCCAAGUGGCUUGCACAGAAGUAUGAGUCACUGUACAGAGACAACUGGCAUUCAGACUUUGAUUGA